CAGUAGCCGCGGGAAUACGUAGGGUGCGAGCGUUAAUCGGAAUUACUGGGCGUAAAGCGUGCGUAGGCGGUUCGUUAAGUCUGUUGUGAAAGCCCCGGGCUCAACCUGGGAAUGGCAAUGGAUACUGGCGAGCUAGAGUGUGUCAGAGGAUGGUGGAAUUCCCGGUGUAGCGGUGAAAUGCGUAGAGAUCGGGAGGAACAUCAGUGGCGAAGGCGGCCAUCUGGGACAACACUGACGCUGAGGCACGAAAGCGUGGGGAGCAAACAGGAUUAGAUACCCCUGUAGUCCCUGUCUCUUAUAC
Molecule: ribosomal RNA, 301 nt
Filed under: uncultured bacterium
Lineage: Bacteria
Description: partial 16S ribosomal RNA
Rfam family: Bacterial small subunit ribosomal RNA
Source: RNAcentral